GCCACUAAUCGAUUUGGAGUGGGUCGAUUAGAAACCCAAGCGAAGUAUCGGGAGAAAUACUCGCUCCUGCGCAACCAGAAAAAUUAGGAUCGGGGACUUGAUUACACUAGUUAAUCACUAAUGCCCUUUCAGUACCUAAUCUUGUUUAAACCCUAAGGCUUUUUGGAUGUUUGAGAGAUUUUCCAUGCAUUUUUGGGAGGAAAAAACAUUUUUUGAGUCAUUUUCUAAUUUUUUUGGACACAAAAGGGAUUUUUUGGGUUUUUUGGUAUUUUUUGGAAAAAUACAAGUCUUUUUGGCUUUUUCUGAAUUUUUGGCUUUUUUUGGAAAAUAUGAAAUAUUUUUGAUUUUUUUGAUUUUUCGAAAAAUAAAAUAUUUUUUAAUAUUUCUUGAUAUUUUUGGAAAAUAAAUUAUUUUUUGAUUUUUCUCGAUUUUUUAGAAAAUAAAACAUUUUUCAACAAUUUUUAAUAUUUUUCGAUUUUCUGGAAAUUAAAACAUUUUUUUAAUAUUUUU
RNAcentral lists this long non-coding RNA (510 nucleotides) under Eucalyptus grandis. RNAcentral's name for it is "long non-coding RNA (EGRA_LNC004446)". Lineage: Eukaryota; Viridiplantae; Streptophyta; Magnoliopsida; Myrtales; Myrtaceae. The record is from RNAcentral.